This 1398-nucleotide ribosomal RNA is filed under the name uncultured bacterium. Its description in RNAcentral is "16S ribosomal RNA". It matches the Rfam family "Bacterial small subunit ribosomal RNA". The record is from RNAcentral.
AGAGUUUGAUCCUGGCUCAGGAUGAAUUCUAGCUACAGGCUUAACACAUGCAAGUCGAGGGGCAGCAUGAUCUUAGCUUGCUAAGAUUGAUGGCGACCGGCGCACGGGUGAGUAACACGUAUCCAACCUGCCGUCUACUUGGGGAUAGCCUUCUGAAAGGAAGAUUAAUACCCGAUGCGAUCUGUCGGCCGCAUGGCUGAUGGAUGAAAGAUUGAUUGGUAGACGAUGGGGAUGCGUUCCAUUAGGUUGUUGGCGGGGUAACGGCCCACCAAGCCGACGAUGGAUAGGGGUUCUGAGAGGAAGGUCCCCCACAUUGGAACUGAGACACGGUCCAGACUCCUACGGGAGGCAGCAGUGAGGAAUAUUGGUCAAUGGAUGAGAAUCUGAACCAGCCAAGUAGCGUGCAGGAUGACGGCCCUAUGGGUUGUAAACUGCUUUUAUACGGGAAUAAAUGACGACACGUGUGUUGUUUUGUAGGUACCGUUUGAAUAAGGACCGGCUAAUUCCGUGCCAGCAGCCGCGGUAAUACGGAAGGUCCGGGCGUUAUCCGGAUUUAUUGGGUUUAAAGGGAGCGUAGGCCGGCGCUUAAGCGUGCCGUGAAAUGUCCCGGCUCAACCGGGGCACUGCGGCGCGAACUGGGUGCCUUGAGUGCGCGGAACGUAUGCGGAAUUCGUGGUGUAGCGGUGAAAUGCUUAGAUAUCACGAAGAACUCCGAUUGCGAAGGCAGCAUACGGCAGCGUAACUGACGCUGAAGCUCGAAGGUGCGGGUAUCGAACAGGAUUAGAUACCCUGGUAGUCCGCACGGUAAACGAUGGAUGCCCGCUGUUGGCGAUAUACAGUCAGCGGCCAAGCGAAAGCGUUAAGCAUCCCACCUGGGGAGUACGCCGGCAACGGUGAAACUCAAAGGAAUUGACGGGGGCCCGCACAAGCGGAGGAACAUGUGGUCUAAUUCGAUGAUACGCGAGGAACCUUACCCGGGCUUGAACUGCAGGUGAACGAUUCAGUGAUGAUGAGGUCCUUCGGGACACCUGUGGAGGUGCUGCAUGGUUGUCGUCAGCUCGUGCCGUGAGGUGUCGGCUUAAGUGCCAUAACGAGCGCAACCCCUGUUCUCAGUUGCCAUCGGGUCAUGCCGGGCACUCUGUGAAGACUGCCUCCGUAAGGAGUGAGGAGGGUGGGGAUGACGUCAAAUCAGCACGGCCCUUACGUCCGGGGCUACACACGUGUUACAAUGGGUGAUACAGAGAGUCGGCGGCCGGCAACGUCCGUCUGAUCUAUAAAGUCAUCCUCAGUUCGGACUGGGGUCUGCAACCCGACCCCACGAAGCUGGAUUCGCUAGUAAUCGCGCAUCAGCCAUGGCGCGGUGAAUACGUUCCCGGGCCUUGCACUCACCGCCCGUCA